RNAcentral lists this ribosomal RNA (468 nucleotides) under uncultured bacterium. RNAcentral's name for it is "partial 16S ribosomal RNA". It matches the Rfam family "Bacterial small subunit ribosomal RNA", at positions 28 to 507 of the family's 1533-position model. The record is from RNAcentral.
GACGAACGCUGGCGGCGUGCUUAACACAUGCAAGUCGAACGGAAAGGCCCUGCUUUUGUGGGGUGCUCGAGUGGCGAACGGGUGAGUAACACGUGAGUAACCUGCCCUUGACUUUGGGAUAACUUCAGGAAACUGGGGCUAAUACCGGAUAGGAGCUCCUGCUGCAUGGUGGGGGUUGGAAAGUUUCGGCGGUUGGGGAUGGAAGCGCGGCUUAUGGGCUUGUUGGUGGGGUAGUGGCUUACAAAGGCUGAGAGGGGUAGCCGGCCUGAGAGGGGGGACGGGGACAAGGGUACUACGAGACGGCGCAGACUCGUACGUUAGGCAGCAGUGGGGAGCAUUGCGGAAUGGGCGCGAGUGUGAUACAGAGACGCCGCGUGCGGGAAGCCGGGUUUCUGGUUGUAAACAGCUUUCGCCUGUGACGAGGCGGGCGUGACGGUACCGGGUAAAGAAGCACCGGCUAACUACGUG